CAGGAUGAACGCUAGCGGCAGGCUUAACACAUGCAAGUCGAGGGGCAACGGGAUGUAGCAAUACAUUGCCGGCGACCGGCGGAUGGGUGCGUAACGCGUAUGCAACCUACCUUAGUACAGGGGAAUAACCUUUCGAAAGGGAGACUAACACCCCAUGGUAUUGAUUUAAGGCAUCUUAGAUUAAUUAAAUAUUUAUAGGUAUAAGAUGGGCAUGCGUAUGAUUAGCUAGUUGGUAAGGUAACGGCUUACCAAGGCGACGAUCAUUAGGGGUUCUGAGAGGAAGGUCCCCCACACUGGUACUGAGACACGGACCAGACUCCUACGGGAGGCAGCAGUGAGGAAUAUUGGUCAAUGGGCGCAAGCCUGAACCAGCCAUGCCGCGUGCAAGGAAGACGGCCUUAUGGGUUGUAAACUGCUUUACAUAAGACUAACCGUAUAUUUGCGAAUAUACCUGAAUGUAUUAUGAGAAUAAGGAUCGGCUAACUCCGUGCCAGCCGCCGC
Molecule: ribosomal RNA, 501 nt
Filed under: uncultured bacterium
Lineage: Bacteria
Description: bacterial SSU rRNA
Rfam family: Bacterial small subunit ribosomal RNA
Source: RNAcentral